This is a non-coding RNA of Meloidogyne enterolobii, 94 nucleotides long. Lineage: Eukaryota; Metazoa; Nematoda; Chromadorea; Rhabditida; Meloidogynidae. The record is from the annotation of a GenBank genome assembly.
GCAUUAGUCGAUGCCCCGGUAGCUCAGAGGUAGAGCUCCUGCAUAUAGCGAGCAAAAGCGGGAGGUUGCAGGUUCGAAUCCCGCCUGGUGGCUA